AUUGAACGCUGGCGGCAUGCUCUACACAUGCAAGUCGAACGGCCGCGCGGGCUUCGUCCUCGUCGCGAGUGGCGGACGGACGAGUAAUUAACACGAAGGUGCCCAGCCGUGGGGGCUAGCACGACGACAGCCGGACUAAUACCGCAUACGAUAUGAGGGUGAACGCGGGGGACCGAUAGUCAAAGCGCUAUUUGAGCGGCCGAUGUCGGAUUAGCUAGUUGGUGUGGUAAAGGCUUACCAAGGCGACGAUCCGUAGCAGGUCUGAGAGGCCGACCAGCCACACUGGGACUGAGACACGGCCCAGACUCCUACGGGAGGCAGCAGUAGGGAAUUUUGGACAAUGGGGGCAACCCUGAUCCAGCCAUGCCGCGUGAGGGAAGAAGGCCUUCGGAUUGUAAAACGCUGUUAUUCGGGAAGAAAACAUGUGUACGAAUACCCCCGGGGGAUGACGGUACCUGAAGAGAAAGCACCGGCUAACUACGUG
Molecule: ribosomal RNA, 484 nt
Filed under: uncultured bacterium
Lineage: Bacteria
Description: partial 16S ribosomal RNA
Rfam family: Bacterial small subunit ribosomal RNA
Source: RNAcentral